RNAcentral lists this ribosomal RNA (468 nucleotides) under uncultured bacterium. RNAcentral describes it as "partial 16S ribosomal RNA". It matches the Rfam family "Bacterial small subunit ribosomal RNA", at positions 28 to 507 of the family's 1533-position model. The record is from RNAcentral.
GACGAACGCUGGCGGCGUGCUUAAUACAUGCAAGUCGAACGGAAAGACCCUGCUCUUGUGGGGUGCUCGAUUGGCGAACGGGUGAGUAACACGCGAGUAACAUGCCCCUGACUGUGGGAUAACUCCAGGAAACUGGGGCUAUUACCGGAUAUGAGCUCCUGCUGCGUGGGGGGGGUUGGAGAGUUUCGGCGGUUGGGGCUGGAUUCGCUGCUUACCCGCUUGUUUGGGGGGUAGGUGCUUACCAGGCCUACGACGGGUAGCCUGCCUGAGAGGGUGACCGGCCACAUUGGGACUGAGAUACGGCCCAGACUCCUACGUGAGGCAGCAGUGGGGAAUAUUGCACAAUGGGCGGAAGCGUGAUGCAGCAAUGCCGCGUGCGGGAUGACGGCCUUCGGGUUGUAAACCGCUUUCGAAUGUGACGAACCGUGAGUGACGGUAAUGGGUAAAGAAGCAACGGCUAACUACGUG